Non-coding RNA from Xyrichtys novacula (pearly razorfish), 122 nucleotides. The record is from the annotation of a GenBank genome assembly. NCBI's taxonomy places the organism in Eukaryota, Metazoa, Chordata, Actinopteri, Labriformes, Labridae.
ACUGACUCAGCCUAUACAUCUAAGAUGUACAGAUGUAUGGAUGACAUUUGAUUUAUAUAUAUAUAUAUUAAUCAAAUGUCAUCCAUACAUCUGUACAUCUUAGAUGUAUAGGCUGAGUCAGU